This 75-nucleotide transfer RNA is filed under the name Rhodospirillaceae bacterium. RNAcentral's name for it is "tRNA-Thr". It matches the Rfam family "tRNA". Rfam says of the family: Transfer RNA (tRNA) molecules are approximately 80 nucleotides in length. The record is from RNAcentral. Lineage: Bacteria; Pseudomonadati; Pseudomonadota; Alphaproteobacteria; Rhodospirillales; Rhodospirillaceae. RNAcentral also lists the same sequence under 4 other names.
GCUGCGGUAGCUCAGUGGUAGAGCACUCCCUUGGUAAGGGAGAGGUCGAGAGUUCAAUCCUCUCCCGCAGCACCA